This 1060-nucleotide ribosomal RNA is filed under the name human gut metagenome. RNAcentral's name for it is "bacterial SSU rRNA". It matches the Rfam family "Bacterial small subunit ribosomal RNA", at positions 163 to 1233 of the family's 1533-position model. The record is from RNAcentral.
GCAGGAUCUAGGCUGAAGCUGUCGGCUCUUUUAUGGUUGAAAAUUCCGAUGGUUAGAGAUGGGCAUGCGUUGUAUUAGCUAGUUGGUGGGGUAACGGCUCACCAAGGCGACGAUACAUAGGGGGACUGAGAGGUUAACCCCCCACACUGGUACUGAGACACGGACCAGACUCCUACGGGAGGCAGCAGUGAGGAAUAUUGGUCAAUGGACGCAAGUCUGAACCAGCCAUGCCGCGUGCAGGAUGACGGCUCUAUAGAGUUGUAAACUGCUUUUGUACGAGGGUAAACGCAGAUACGUGUAUCUGUCUGAAAGUAUCGUACGAAUAAGGAUCGGCUAACUCCGUGCCAGCAGCCGCGGUAAUACGGAGGAUUCAAGCGUUAUCCGGAUUUAUUGGGUUUAAAGGGUGCGUAGGCGGUUUGAUAAGGUUAGAGGUGAAAUUUCGGGGCUCAACCCUGAACGUGCCUCUAAUACUGUUGAGCUAGAGAGUAGUUGCGGUAGGCGGAAUGUAUGGUGUAGCGGUGAAAUGCUUAGAGAUCAUACUGAACACCGAUUGCGAAGGCAGCUUACCAUACUAUAUCUGACGUUCAGGCACGAAUGCGUGGGGAGCAAACCGGAUUAGAUACCCUGGUAGUCCACGCAGUAAACGAUGAUUACUCGUUGUCGGCGAUACACAGUCGGUGACUAAGCGAAAGCGAUAGUUAUCCAGCUGGGGAGUACGUUCGCCAGAAUGAAACUCACAGGACUUGACGGGGGCCCGCACAAGCUGAGGAACAUGUGGUCUAAUUCGAUGAUACGCGAGGAACGUUACCCGGGUCUUGAAAGUGUGCGACGAUUCUUGUAUGAGGAUUCCCUUCGGGGCGCGAAACUAGGUGCUGCAUGGUUGUCGUCAGGUCGUGCCUUGAGGUGUCGGGUCACGUCCAUAACGAGCGCAACCCUUCCGUUGGUUGCCCAUCGGUUAAUCUGGGCCCUCCUGCGGGACUGCCGUUUAAGCGAGAGAACGGUGGGUUACUUCCAUCGCACGGCCUACUUCCGGGUCAGCCUUUUACUUGUUUGACCAAGG